Molecule: ribosomal RNA, 297 nt
Filed under: uncultured bacterium
Lineage: Bacteria
Description: partial 16S ribosomal RNA
Rfam family: Bacterial small subunit ribosomal RNA
Source: RNAcentral
GGGUCCGUAGGCGGUCAGAUAAGUCAGUGGUGAAAUGCCCAUCGCUCAACGGUGGAACGGCCAUUGAUACUGUCUGACUUGAAUUAUUAGGAAGUAACUAGAAUAUGUAGUGUAGCGGUGAAAUGCUUAGAGAUUACAUGGAAUACCAAUUGCGAAGGCAGGUUACUACUAAUGGAUUGACGCUGAUGGACGAAAGCGUGGGUAGCGAACAGGAUUAGAUACCCUGGUAGUCCACGCCGUAAACGAUGGAUACUAGCUGUUGGGAGCAAUCUCAGUGGCUAAGCGAAAGUGAUAAGU